AUUGAACGCUGGCGGCAUGCCUUACACAUGCAAGUCGAACGGCAGCACGGGUGCUUGCACCUGGUGGCGAGUGGCGAACGGGUGAGUAAUACAUCGGAACGUACCUUAUCGUGGGGGAUAACGCAGCGAAAGUUGCGCUAAUACCGCAUACGCCCUGAGGGGGAAAGCGGGGGACCGUAAGGCCUCGCGCGAUUAGAGCGGCCGAUGUCUGAUUAGCUUGUUGGUGAGGUAAAAGCUCACCAAGGCGAUGAUCAGUAGCUGGUCUGAGAGGACGAUCAGCCACACUGGGACUGAGACACGGCCCAGACUCCUACGGGAGGCAGCAGUGGGGAAUUUUGCACAAUGGGGGCAACCCUGAUCCAGCAAUGCCGCGUGAGUGAAGAAGGCCUUCGGGUUGUAAAGCUCUUUUGUCAGGGAAGAAACAGCAGCUCUAACACAGUCUGCGAAUGACGGUACCUGAAGAAUAAGCACCGGCUAACUACGUG
RNAcentral lists this ribosomal RNA (485 nucleotides) under uncultured bacterium. Its description in RNAcentral is "partial 16S ribosomal RNA". It matches the Rfam family "Bacterial small subunit ribosomal RNA", at positions 30 to 507 of the family's 1533-position model. The record is from RNAcentral.